GGCGAACGCUGGCGGCGUGCUUAACACAUGCAAGUCGAACGGUGAUCUUGAGAGCUUGCUCUUGGGUGAUCAGUGGCGAACGGGUAAGUAACACGUGAGUAACCUGCCCCUGACUCUGGAAUAACUUCGGGAAACCGAAGCUAAUACCGGAUAUGACACAGAGCCGCAUGGUUUCUGUGUGGAAAGUUUUUCGGUUGGGGAUGGACUCGCGGCCUAUCAGCUUGUUGGUGAGGUAAUGGCUCACCAAGGCGACGACGGGUAGCCGGCCUGAGAGGGCGACCGGCCACACUGGGACUGAGACACGGCCCAGACUCCUACGGGAGGCAGCAGUGGGGAAUAUUGCACAAUGGGCGAAAGCCUGAUGCAGCGACGCCGCGUGAGGGAUGAAGGCCUCGGUUGUAACCGUACUUCAGUAGGAAGAAGACGCAAGUGACGGUACCGUACAGAAGAAGCACCGGCUAACUACGUGCCAGCAGCCGCGGUAAACGUAGACGUG
This 496-nucleotide ribosomal RNA is filed under the name uncultured bacterium. Its description in RNAcentral is "bacterial SSU rRNA". It matches the Rfam family "Bacterial small subunit ribosomal RNA", at positions 28 to 534 of the family's 1533-position model. The record is from RNAcentral.